RNAcentral lists this long non-coding RNA (267 nucleotides) under Fukomys damarensis (Damara mole-rat). RNAcentral describes it as "lncRNA (ENSFDAG00000025229.1)". The record is from RNAcentral. Lineage: Eukaryota; Metazoa; Chordata; Mammalia; Rodentia; Bathyergidae.
UCUGGUCUAAGCCGUUCCGAACGAUAUCCCGUUGCAGGAAACCCAGGCACAGAGUAGAAGGGCAACCUCUAAAGGUAUUAUGGACUGACUUGGAACCCGAGGAAAUGGUAAGAAACUCUUCACUUUCCCCUGAAUACAGACAUCUCUGACUUUUUCUUCAUAUACUAUGGAGCACUACUCUGCCAUAAAGAAGAAUAAACUGAAGUCAUUUGUAGGAAAAUUGUAAGUGAAACCAUAAUGGUUAGUGAAAUAAACCAGGAACAUGAA